GCCGCUAUGGUGAAAUUGGUAGACACGCUGCUCUUAGGAAGCAAUGCUAAUGCAUCUCGGUUCGAGUCCGAGUGGCGGCA
RNAcentral lists this transfer RNA (80 nucleotides) under Nicotiana sylvestris (wood tobacco). It matches the Rfam family "tRNA". Rfam says of the family: Transfer RNA (tRNA) molecules are approximately 80 nucleotides in length. Their secondary structure includes four short double-helical elements and three loops (D, anti-codon, and T loops). The record is from Rfam by way of RNAcentral. RNAcentral also lists the same sequence under 1 other name. Lineage: Eukaryota; Viridiplantae; Streptophyta; Magnoliopsida; Solanales; Solanaceae.